UAAAUACUUUUAUGGUGCGUAUUGCUUUUUUGUUUUUACAUUUACUGAUCAUUUAAAAAUAAUAUUUCAAUUCGAUCUUAAAUAAAGUGAAAAGGGGUUUGUUCUCUGCCCACAUCAUUUUAUGGAUAAAUAAUCUUCUAUGAAAGAUAAACAAAUGAACAAUGAAAGUUAAAUCAGGGUCAAUAUCAUUUGGAUCAAAAUAAAAAAAUAUCAGAGUCUCUCAGAUUAACAUUAAUAGUCGUUUCUUUUCAAAUAGAAUCUUCUAACUCACUCCAAAAUCUUCUGACAUAAGAACAGUCCCAAAAUAAAUGGUCACGAGUUUCUGGGUCACAACCACAAAAUACACAUUUGUUAUCAAUAUCUAUUUUAAAUCUGUGUAUAAUAAAAGGUCUUUACAGGGUAGAUUCUAUGAAUGAGUUUGUAUGAUACUUCUUUCACCUUAUUAGAUAUACAAUAUUUACCAGAUAACAACGAAACUUUGUUCCAGUUCACUUGUCCUAGGGCUGCAUUCCAGUACAUUUUAGCAGAGGGAAUAGUAACAUAUUGACAUAGUUUCCUUAUAUAGAUGUUAUUACAUGUAUAGUUUAAAAUGUCAAUUCCUAGUUGUAUUGAGGCUACAAAAUCCUCAACAGUUGCACUUGGAGUACUGUUACAUUCUCCUAAAAGAAGAAUAGCACCUUUAGGGACAGCUCUAACAACAUUUUACUCCUCAGGAGUGAAUGUAACAUUGUGUGUUCUCAUAAAUUCUGGAUAAUGAUACAGUUGUCCAUCAUUAUUCAAUAAUUGUUUAACCCAAAUAAGGUUGUUGUCAAACCAGUUCUGGAAAAAUAAAGACUUGUUUUUGUAUUUUAUGUCUUUAGGUUGUAUACCUAUGUGGGGACAAAUUGUGUUUGUACAUGAGGUUCCAAGUUAGAAGUACUUGUUUAUGAAAGUUUGCAAGCUUAAUAGGGAUUUUACCCAUAUCAAAGUUGCAUUUGAGUAAGAAUUCUAGACCACCAAUCUGUUGGAAUAUUAAAUUAGGGAUGAUAUUCCAAAUGCAAUCCUUAUUUCUUAAAUAGUUUUGCAUCCAUUUAAUCUUAAAUAUUAUAUUAGAGGUUUUAAAAUCCAGAGCGUUCAACCCUCCCUCACUUUGGGUUCUACAUAUUACCGCUUUUCUUAAAUUAUGAGGUUUAUUCCUCCAUAUGAAGUUAAAUCAUUUAGUAUCAACCAUUUUAGUUACUGACAGAGGAACAUCCAAGGCAAGGGAGGUAUAAACUAAUCUGGACAGACCUUCAGAUUUUGACAAAAGUACACAUCCAGAUAAAGAAAGAUCUCUCAAUAACCAUGAGUUAAGUCUCUUUCCAAUUUUUUCUACAAUAGGAGAGAAAUUUAAGUUGGCCCUUUCUUUCUGAUCUUUGCUAACUUUAAUACCAAGAUAUGUGAUCAUAUCUUUUACAGGGAUAUUACAUUCUGAGUUUAAGUCACAUCUUUUCAACGCAAAUAAUUCACAUUUCCUAAUAUUCAGAGAUAAACCUGAUACACGUGAGAAGGCAUUAAAACACUCAAUAGCUUUCCUGACGUCAUUAUGAUCUUUCUAAAAAAUGGUGGUGUCGUCAGCCAAUUGUGAACAUUUUAUCUCUUUGUCUUGUAUCUGAAUACCUCUAAAACUAUCCUUAUUUAUAUGAAGUGCCAUAACUCGUGUGACCAAUAAAAAUAAGAAAGAAGAAAUUGGGCAUCCUUGUUAAAUUCCACGUCUAAUGUGGAAUCUCUGUGAAGUUCCAUGGGAUAAUUUAACAGAGCUUUUAUUGUUAUUGUAAAGUGUCUUAAUUCCACUUUGAAAAUAUUGACCGAAACGAAAAAAAUCGAAGAGUCUCAAAAACUGUAUCAAAAGCCUUGUAAAUGUCUACAAAUAAAAUAAAGCUAUCUUCCAUAAUGUGCUCAUUGUAGUCUAUCAAGUUCAAUACUAAUCGAAUAUUAUUACAUAUAUGUAUGCCCUUCAUAAAACCAGACUGGGUAUCAUCAAUGAUUUGGUCAAUACCUUUUUUAAGUCUUUCUAUAAAGAUGGAUGCAAGUAGCUUUCCAUCAUUGUUCAUUAAUGUGAUUGGUCUCCAAUUUUCUAACAUCAUAGAAUCUUUGUUUGGUUUGGGUAUUACAGAAAUGAGGCCUUGUGUCAUAGAAACAGGCAGGACCCCUAAAUCAAUUGCCUCCUUAUAAACAUGAAAUAUAAAUUCAAUAAUAUCCUCCUGAAAAUAUUUAUAGAAUUCACUGAUAAUGCCAUCAUUCCCUGUAGAUGUGUAACUUGCUGAUAAUUUUUAAAAAUUUCAUCACAAGACUUUUGGAAGUCUUCAUCUUCAUCAUGAAUUUUGCAUAGUCUUUGACAGAGUCUAGAAAGGCAGAUAUGUCACUAGUAGGACAGGCAUUACUGGUAUAAAGGUUACCAUAGAAUUCUGAAACAUAUUUUGAAAUAUCUUUGGGGUUUUCAUUUUUUUUGCCAUCUAUAUUAAGCUUAUGAAUAGAUGUAAAUUCAGAAUUUUUUCUUUCUAAAUUGUAAAAGUAUUUUGUAUUUUUUUUCACCUUCCUCCAACCAUCUCCUUCUUGAUCUUACAAAUGCCCCUUUCGCUCUCUCGUCAUACAUUCGGUCCAUUUCUAGUUGUAAAGAGAAUAACUGAGCCUUUCUUUCUUCGUCUCUAACCCUCCAUAGAGAUUAGAGCAAGUAUUUCCUUAACAAGUUCAUCUUCCCUCAAUCUUUUAAGUUCAGCAAUUUCUUUACCUCUCUUCAUGACUGUUUGUCUUAUUUCAUACUUCAUUCAUUCCCAAUAUUUCCCAUAAGACUUAAAUAGUUGGGCGUUCCACAAAUUGUCUUGUAUAAUAUCUUUGGCAUCCAUCUUGAAAUUAUCAUCUUCCAACAGUCUACUAUUGAGUUUUCAAUAACUCCGAUUCGGUUUAAUUUCAGAUCCAUUCACAUUUAAAGAUAUGCUACUGUAACUGUUAUUGCCGCUUUCUGUUUGUAUGUAGCUUGCACUUCAAUGGCAUUCCUCGAGGACAUUUUCUUUUAUCUUUCCAACCAGGCAAAGUACUAUGAAGACACCACUGAUCUCGACAAGAGGCACAACAUUCAGAGAAACGUAUAGCAGUUAACUUCAACUAGAUGGACGGAUUUAGCUAUGCACAACCACUUUUCAACAACCAUUUUCCAUCUAACAGUAGGCUAGUUGCUAACUAUACAUAUAGUACAGCGGAGUGGCUGCUGACGGGAGGAUGGCUCAUAAUAAUGUCUGGAAUGGAGUAUAUGGGAUGGUAUCAAACACGUGGUUUCCAUGUGGUUGAUACCAUUCAAUUGACUCCAUUCCAGCCAUUAUUAUGAGCCGUCCUCUCCUCAGCAGCGUCCACUGAUAUAGCUAUAUGUCUGUCAUAUUGAGGUGUCUAGCUAUACGUUAAACCUGAUCAAUCAAAUGGAUAUGUGUAAACUACAGCAGGUGUCUUUGCUAGAGAGACACAGAGGGGGGGGGAGAAAAUGAGAAAGGAUGAACGUGAGAGAGGGAGAGAGAGGUGGGAAGAGAGUGUAAGACAGACAGAGAGAGAUGGAAAGCAAAAAACAGAGAGAGAAAGACAGCAGUGCAAAUAUACUUAGACUUGAGUAUUUCAACAAGUUAGGCAAUCAUAUCUACCUACGGGGGAAGGAUGGCCAGCCACUCAGGAGGGUGAUUUUUACUAAGGAGGAGGAGGCCGUGCUGACUGAGAUGAAUGCUGGCAAUUUCGGAAUGAAGCCUAUGCUUCUUCUGACGGGAAAUUGUCAAGGUGGACAGCUGGGUAAGUGAAACAACCUUUAGUUUAUCAAUCACAUUCCAUUAUAUCUGAAAUGAUUAUGAUUUCAAUUAAUGUCAUAUCAGAGAGCACACAAUGUUUCAAUUUGUCCCUUUUUGCUUAAAGGUCAUUACACCCACGGUUCUCCUGAGGUCAUCUUGAGUGACCGAGAUUUACAUUUACAUUUAACAUUUACAUUUAAGUCUUUUAGCAGACGCUCUUAUCCAGAGCGACUUACAAAUUGGAAAGUUCAUACAUAUUCAUCCUGGUCCCCCCGUGGGUCAUGAACGCUGGAACAAGGUACAGAUGUUACAGGUUAUAUUCUGUCACCAAUGGUUUGUUUUACUUAUUUUUUACAAUUUGUUUUUCUGUGCUACAUAAUUAGACAUAUUUCAAAAUCUAACAUUGUCAAUAGAUAUCGCUUUCUUACCCCCUCCUCCAGGUUUGGUAAAUGGACCAACCAGACCCCUCAAGACUGCCAUGGGCAAGUCCCUUGAUGGGUACCAGGAAGGUUGAGAGAACAACCUGAAGGUAAUUCUCUUUACACACAACAGCAGCAUCCAGGCCUCCACCGAGUACGGACGGGAGCCGCAGUUGUUGACUGAGAUCACUGAAACCCCACCUGAUGUGGUGGAAGUUGUCGAACCAGAUGAGAACGUCUUCGAGUACUACCUUCAGGCACGGACUGAGAAGGAUGGAGGUUUUUGACCAGGACCUAGGGGGUUCUGCCCAGCACCCAGACGUGGGUCCAGGACCUGCCCAACACACAGACGUGGGUCCAGGACCUGCCCAACACCCAGACGUGGGUCCAGGACCUGCCCAACACCCAGACGUGGGUCCAGGACCUGCCCAACACCCAGACGUGGGUCCAGGACCUGCCCAACAGCCAGACGUGGGUCCAGGACCUGCCCAACACCCAGACGUGGGUCCACCUGAUGUCCUCCAUUACCCACCACCCUCCAACUUUUCAUUACAUCAUCUACAGCUACUGUUAUUGUCAUUAUCUGCUAAGAAAGUGUUCUUGCUCUGUCACACAUAAUAUGUGAGAUACACAGAUGAACUCAAAACACUCGCACUGCAAACACUCAGAACAAAGAAAGCAGCCGUGCCUGGACUUUCCAGUCUCCCUCUUCAAGUCCCCCUUCUGAGACUGGCUGCCUGUUGAGAACAAGUGACAGGCAGAAUUCCACACACCAGAAUUCCAUAUUUUAAUCUACGAUUGCCAUGUGAGUGCACAAAAAAUCUGUGAAAAUAAAUGAAUGGCACAACUGCACCAAAAACGAUCAACGUUGAUGCAUUCAAAUCUUAAAUAUUGCCAGGUUGGUUUUCACAGCUGUUUCACAAGGUGUUCACAAGGUGUAAGUUGUAAGGUGUCCUUUGAUGGUGUUUAUUUCUUCCACAUUAUUCAUUGUUGAUCCUAGUACCUUCAAUAGAUACAUAUAUGAGCCAAGCGAGAUAGAAAAAAAAUCAUAAUAGAGGACUACUGAAAUGAUAUUAUUUCAGUGUAGACAAGGGAAGGGCAGGUUAAAAUAAAAACAUGACAGCCAGACAAGCCGGUGUAUGAAUCAAACGGAUUUGCAAAUGAAUGGAGUGGAAAUUAGCUGACUUUGUGAUCUGUAAGGUGAGUAACUUAAAUGUGUCAAGCAGAUUACACGUUUUCUUUGCCAUUUCCGAAACGUAGCAAUGUUUAAGACAUGGACUUCAUGUUCUAAUGUUAACAAGGUACCCACAAGUAGUUCGAAUGAAUGUUUCCAUUUUAUUAGCUGAACAAAACUUGUUUAAACAGCGAAAUUGUCGCAGAAAUCAGCCUUGUUAUAACGACACAGGGCGAGACCCACAUGCAUACACAGGAGGCAGAUUGUUCGAGUCUGAUAUUUAUUAAAAUACAAGGGGCAAGCAAUAGGUAGGUCGAGGACAGACCGAAGUUCAUUAACCAGGUCAGAGUCCGAAAGGUACAGGGGGGCAGGCAGGCUCGAGGACAGGGCAGGAUGAAUGGUCAGGGCAGGCAGAACAGGUCGGAAACGGGAGGGCUAGAAAACAGACUUGGAAAAACAGGAGCAGGGAAAAACAUGCUGGCAGGCUUGACAAGACAAGACGAACUGGCAACAGACAAACAUAGCAAUGACGAAAAUAACGUAAUUUAGGCUGUAACGAUCUCCAAAAUUCGAAUACUUAGGUCAUCACACCGUUGAUAUAGCAACGGAAGGUAAUAGUUUAUCGAAUCCCAUUGUGACCUAUAGGGGGACACUAAUUGGCCAGGGGAUAUUAUUUAGCAUGACAGGCCCUACGUGACAUUUUGUUGCGAACAGAACAUUUUAGUGGCCCCCCCCUCUUGACAACGCAGA
Salvelinus fontinalis (brook trout) is the source of this 6128-nucleotide long non-coding RNA. RefSeq lists it as uncharacterized. NCBI's taxonomy places the organism in Eukaryota, Metazoa, Chordata, Actinopteri, Salmoniformes, Salmonidae. The record is from RefSeq and is a predicted model, not a curated record. The transcript is spliced from 3 exons.